ACUAUUGGAUUACAUCAAGAGAGACUUAGAUAAGACAUCAGGAAAUUCUUUCUAAUAUUAAAGAUUAUAAAACCUGAGAAUAGCCUACCUACAGAGAUCCGGAAAUGUUAACUACUGGAGGACUUGGAGCUGGCUGAACAAAUAUCUGCAGGAGUAACCCAGUGGCAUUUCCUGGCAUUAUCCACACAUACCCAGCAGAAAUGUUAUCAGUGCUUCGCUGUUUGGGAUGUUUAUUUAGCCAAUACCAUAAUUUUAUCAGGCAAGAUCUCCACAGAAUCAAAAGGGAAGAAGUGAUACUUUCCAAGCAUAAAACUGUUCUGGUGAAUUAUACAAAGUCUUCUGCACACAAGGGGAAACCUGCUGCACUUCAAGAAAAAAAAAAAGUUAAUUGGAUGAAGACUAUGGAAUGAAGAGCCUAACUCUUUGUGUUAGCUUUCAAAAAUCUUGGAAAGCAGUGGCAGCAUGACUGCAUAAGUAGAAUAACAGCAGCUGCAACAUCGAACUUCUGAACACCCUUCAACUUCUGCAGCAUCCAGUGCAAGAAUAUUUAAGCAUAUCUUUGCAUUGAUAUCCCUUAUUAGAUGUGUUCUCAGGAUCCUAAGGCUGCUACCAUUCUAACAAACAAAAUUACAGAUGGGUUUACUUAGGAUCACUUUGCAUCACACAGUAUUUUAGAAAACUCAACACAGGUUAUAAAAGAUGACGGUACUACUCUUCUGAAACAAAACUUCAAAUAUGCCAGCCCCUGAAAUGUCAAUACAUACUGUGAAUUGCAGGUUUCAGCCUUCUAUAUAAUUUCAGAGUUUUAAUUUAUGAAAAUAAGAAAUGUUUAAUUCACAAUGUAAAGAAUUUGGCCAACACUUGCACAAAUAUUUUUUUUUUUUACAUAAUGCUUAUGAAUUAGUCAUUUGGCAGGCAGGUACAGAGCUUGUUUAGCUCUCCUUCAGAAAACUUACAUCACUUGUGGUACUUUAGCUACAGUCUUAGGAGAUAUA
Tyto alba (common barn owl) is the source of this 995-nucleotide long non-coding RNA. RefSeq lists it as uncharacterized. The record is from RefSeq and is a predicted model, not a curated record. NCBI's taxonomy places the organism in Eukaryota, Metazoa, Chordata, Aves, Strigiformes, Tytonidae. The transcript is spliced from 3 exons.